ACUGCUUUUCUUUGAUUCCCCUUAUUGAGGAAGCCCAUCGUUCCCGCCUUUCAGGUUCAAGAGCGAUGGGCGUUUUCUUU
This is a small RNA of 80 nucleotides. It matches the Rfam family "RybB RNA". From Rfam's summary of the family: This ncRNA was identified in a large scale screen of E. coli. The function of this short RNA is unknown. The record is from Rfam.